GGGUUGUGAGGUUAAGCGACUAAGCGUACACGGUGGAUGCCCUGGCAGUCAGAGGCGAUGAAGGACGUGCUAAUCUGCGAAAAGCGUCGGUAAGGUGAUAUGAACCGUUAUAACCGGCGAUGUCCGAAUGGGGAAACCCAGUGCAAUUCGUUGCACUAUCGUUAACUGAAUACAUAGGUUAACGAGGCGAACCGGGGGAACUGAAACAUCUAAGUACCCCGAGGAAAAGAAAUCAACCGAGAUUCCCCCAGUAGCGGCGAGCGAACGGGGAGCAGCCCAGAGUCUGAAUCAGCUUGUGUGUUAGUGGAACGGUCUGGAAAGUCCGACGGUACAGGGUGAUAGUCCCGUACACCAAAAUGCACAGGCUGUGAACUCGAAGAGUAGGGCGGGACACGUGGUAUCCUGUCUGAAUAUGGGGGGACCAUCCUCCAAGGCUAAAUACUCCUGACUGACCGAUAGUGAACCAGUACCGUGAGGGAAAGGCGAAAAGAACCCCGGCGAGGGGAGUGAAAAAGAACCUGAAACCGUGUACGUACAAGCAGUGGGAGCACCUUCGGGUGUGACUGCGUACCUUUUGUAUAAUGGGUCAGCGACUUAUAUUCUGUAGCAAGGUUAACCGUAUAGGGGAGCCGCAGGGAAACCGAGUCUUAACUGGGCGUUAAGUUGCAGGGUAUAGACCCGAAACCCGGUGAUCUCAGCCAUGGGCAGGUUGAAGGUUGGGUAACACUAACUGGAGGACCGAACCGACUAAUGUUGAAAAAUUAGCGGAUGACUUGUGGCUGGGGUGAAAGGCCAAUCAAACCGGGAGAUAGCUGGUUCUCCCCGAAAGCUAUUUAGGUAGCGCCUCGUGAACUCAUCUUCGGGGUAGAGCACUGUUUCGGCUAGGGGUCAUCCCGACUUACCAACCCGAUGCAAACUACGAAUACCGAAGAAUGUUAUCACGGGAGACACACGGCGGGUGCUAACGUCCGUCGUGAGAAGAGGGAAACAACCCAGACCGCCAGCUAAGGUCCCAAAGUCAUGGUUAAGUGGGAAACGAUGUGGGAAGGCACAGACAGCCAGGAUGUUGGCUUAGAAGCAGCCAUCAUUUAAAGAAAGCGUAAUAGCUCACUGGUCGAGUCGGCCUGCGCGGAAGAUGUAACGGGGCUAAACCAUGCACCGAAGCUGCGGCAGCGACACUAUGUGUUGUUGGGUAGGGGAGCGUUCUGUAAGCCUGCGAAGGUGUGCUGUGAGGCAUGCUGGAGGUAUCAGAAGUGCGAAUGCUGACAUAAGUAACGAUAAAGCGGGUGAAAAGCCCGCUCGCCGGAAGACCAAGGGUUCCUGUCCAACGUUAAUCGGGGCAGGGUGAGUCGACCCUAAGGCGAGGCCGAAAGGCGUAGUCGAUGGGAAACAGGUUAAUAUUCCUGUACUUGGUGUUACUGCGAAGGGGGGACGGAGAAGGCUAUGUUAGCCGGGCGACGGUUGUCCCGGUUUAAGCAUGUAGGCUGAUUGUCCAGGCAAAUCCGGAUAAUCAAGGCUGAGGUGUGAUGACGAGGCACUACGGUGCUGAAGUAACAAAUGCCCUGCUUCCGGAAAAGCCUCUAAGCAUCAGGUAACAUUAAAUCGUACCCCAAACCGACACAGGUGGUCAGGUAGAGAAUACCAAGGCGCUUGAGAGAACUCGGGUGAAGGAACUAGGCAAAAUGGUGCCGUAACUUCGGGAGAAGGCACGCUGGUGUGUAGGUGAAGUCCCUGCGGAUGGAGCUGAGACCAGUCGAAGAUACCAGCUGGCUGCAACUGUUUAUUAAAAACACAGCACUGUGCAAACACGAAAGUGGACGUAUACGGUGUGACGCCUGCCCGGUGCCGGAAGGUUAAUUGAUGGGGUUAUCCGUAAGGAGAAGCUCUUGAUCGAAGCCCCGGUAAACGGCGGCCGUAACUAUAACGGUCCUAAGGUAGCGAAAUUCCUUGUCGGGUAAGUUCCGACCUGCACGAAUGGCGUAAUGAUGGCCAGGCUGUCUCCACCCGAGACUCAGUGAAAUUGAACUCGCUGUGAAGAUGCAGUGUACCCGCGGCAAGACGGAAAGACCCCGUGAACCUUUACUAUAGCUUGACACUGAACAUUGAGCCUUGAUGUGUAGGAUAGGUGGGAGGCUUUGAAGCGUGGACGCCAGUCUGCGUGGAGCCAACCUUGAAAUACCACCCUUUAAUGUUUGAUGUUCUAACGUUGGCCCCUGACCGGGGUUGCGGACAGUGUCUGGUGGGUAGUUUGACUGGGGCGGUCUCCUCCCAAAGCGUAACGGAGGAGCACGAAGGUUAGCUAAUCCUGGUCGGACAUCAGGAGGUUAGUGCAAUGGCAUAAGCUAGCUUGACUGCGAGCGUGACGGCGCGAGCAGGUGCGAAAGCAGGUCAUAGUGAUCCGGUGGUUCUGAAUGGAAGGGCCAUCGCUCAACGGAUAAAAGGUACUCCGGGGAUAACAGGCUGAUACCGCCCAAGAGUUCAUAUCGAUCGGCGGCGGUGUUUGGCACCUCGAUGUCGGCUCAUCACAUCCUGGGGCUGAAGUAGGUCCCAAGGGUAUGGCUGUUCGCCAUUUAAAGUGGUACGCGAGCUGGGUUUAGAACGUCGUGAGACAGUUCGGUCCCUAUCUGCCGUGGGCGCUGGAGAAUUGAGGGGGGCUGCUCCUAGUACGAGAGGACCGGAGUGGACGCAUCACUGGUGUUCGGGUUGUCAUGCCAAUGGCACUGCCCGGUAGCUAAAUGCGGAAGAGAUAAGUGCUGAAAGCAUCUAAGCACGAAACUUGCCCCGAGAUGAGUUCUCCCUGAGACUUUAAGUCUCCUGAAGGAACGUUAAAGACGAUGACGUUGAUAGGCCGGGUGUGUAAGCGCAGCGAUGCGUUGAGCUAACCGGUACUAAUGAACCGUGAGGCUUAACCUUACAACGCCGAAG
Molecule: ribosomal RNA, 2925 nt
Filed under: Klebsiella pneumoniae
Lineage: Bacteria; Pseudomonadati; Pseudomonadota; Gammaproteobacteria; Enterobacterales; Enterobacteriaceae
Description: 23S ribosomal RNA
Rfam family: Bacterial large subunit ribosomal RNA
Source: RNAcentral